Molecule: ribosomal RNA, 297 nt
Filed under: Klebsiella pneumoniae subsp. pneumoniae
Lineage: Bacteria; Pseudomonadati; Pseudomonadota; Gammaproteobacteria; Enterobacterales; Enterobacteriaceae
Description: partial 16S ribosomal RNA
Rfam family: Bacterial small subunit ribosomal RNA
Source: RNAcentral
GAUGUCGAUUUGGAGGUUGUGCCCUUGAGGCGUGGCUUCCGGAGCUAACGCGUUAAAUCGACCGCCUGGGGAGUACGGCCGCAAGGUUAAAACUCAAAUGAAUUGACGGGGGCCCGCACAAGCGGUGGAGCAUGUGGUUUAAUUCGAUGCAACGCGAAGAACCUUACCUGGUCUUGACAUCCACAGAACUUUCCAGAGAUGGAUUGGUGCCUUCGGGAACUGUGAGACAGGUGCUGCAUGGCUGUCGUCAGCUCGUGUUGUGAAAUGUUGGGUUAAGUCCCGCAACGAGCGCAACCC